This 564-nucleotide ribosomal RNA is filed under the name Haloferax sp. Its description in RNAcentral is "bacterial SSU rRNA". It matches the Rfam family "Archaeal small subunit ribosomal RNA", at positions 317 to 880 of the family's 1478-position model. Lineage: Archaea; Methanobacteriati; Methanobacteriota; Halobacteria; Halobacteriales; Haloferacaceae. The record is from RNAcentral.
CAGGCCCUACGGGGCGCAGCAGGCGCGAAACCUUUACACUGCACGCAAGUGCGAUAAGGGGACCCCAAGUGCGAGGGCAUAUAGUCCUCGCUUUUCACGACUGUAAGGCGGUCGUGGAAUAAGAGCUGGGCAAGACCGGUGCCAGCCGCCGCGGUAAUACCGGCAGCUCAAGUGAUGACCGAUAUUAUUGGGCCUAAAGCGUCCGUAGCCGGCCACGAAGGUUCAUCGGGAAAUCCGCCAGCUCAACUGGCGGGCGUCCGGUGAAAACCACGUGGCUUGGGACCGGAAGGCUCGAGGGGUACGUCCGGGGUAGGAGUGAAAUCCCGUAAUCCUGGACGGACCACCGAUGGCGAAAGCACCUCGAGAAGACGGAUCCGACGGUGAGGGACGAAAGCUAGGGUCUCGAACCGGAUUAGAUACCCGGGUAGUCCUAGCUGUAAACGAUGCUCGCUAGGUGUGACACAGGCUACGAGCCUGUGUUGUGCCGUAGGGAAGCCGAGAAGCGAGCCGCCUGGGAAGUACGUCCGCAAGGAUGAAACUUAAAGGAAUUGGCGGGGGAGCACU